CUCACCUGAAGGCGCUGCAAGUACCGACACACCUCGGCCUCAGGAAUGUGAACCGGGCAGAACUGGGCCCGGUUCACAGUUCGCUUCUUCUUUUUUUUGUCACAGCGACUGACAACAAAUGCAGGAAGUGAAAAAAAAAUCUCAGGGGAGGAAAAAUAAAAGUGUGACAAGUGCAGAGAGAGACGCGGAUCAGAGGGUGUGGAGGUUUCAGUCCCGGUUCCGGUCAUAGGGAGCGAGUCACCGUCUGAGGAGCCGACUGGUUUCAUGUGAUUUUUACCGACUGGGAGACGGAGAUCGGUUUUCACCGGCAGAAGGAAUCAUCGAUACUUCUUGAUUGAUCUGAUUAUUGGACUCCAGGAGUGGAUUCCUGCCAAAACUCACCAGAUAUGGCACAGGAAGAUAUAGAAAUAGGGCUUGACACGCCACUGAAUCCUGUUCCUGGCUCAGCUGAAGAUCAAAAGGACGAUGAUCACAACAUAAAUCAAAGCAAGGACAAAGAUAAAAUAGAAAACUACAGGAAACUGGCCAUUUGCAGCAUCAUCUGUGGUUGUUCCUGUUUGGGAUACAAAGCACUGGAAAAUUCAUUCCAGGUUGAACAUGAAGAGGACAAAGUCAAAAAACUAAAGUAUUCAAAAGCGGCGAAAAAGUACGGCAUAAUCUCCAUUGUCACGCUGUUUGGGCUCCUUGUCCUCAUCCCUGUGCUGCUAGUUUUCAUCUCAUAUCUUCUGACAUUGAGAGACUAAACGACUUUGGCAGAAAAACAAAAAGAUUCUGUGAACAACUUUGUAUUUUAUGGAGCAAAGUAACAAAAACAAAGCUGUGAUCAUUGACUAUCAUUAGAAGUUACAACCACUACUUUUAUCUCUCCAGUAUUUAAUGUAAACAAAACAGACAGCAUUCAUGUUUUAUACCCUGUGAUAUUUAUUUAACAAAUUCAUUUUUUUAAAAUGAAGAUGUAAAGUCCAGGAUUGCCUUGAAAUUUGAGUUUGAAAAGUUUUUAACCUCUCUUGAAGAUUUUCCACACAUCCAGAAAAACUGAGUACUUUCAUGUAUUUUAAUUGGGAUUAAUUAAUAAAAAUCCUAAAGAAAGGCAAAAUAAACUUUCAAAAGCAUACCGUUCUGUAACAACUCAAUCCUGAAUAUAGUUUAUUAUUACAAGAAAUGUAUGAAUUGUUACUGCGUAUACUAAAAUCACAAAUACAAGAGUAAAUAAAACAUUUUGGGCUUUCAGAAAUAAUAAAAACAAAUGGCAUAGUGGUGAUUAUGGCAGUACUU
This is a long non-coding RNA of Poeciliopsis prolifica (blackstripe livebearer), 1275 nucleotides long. RefSeq lists it as uncharacterized. The transcript is spliced from 3 exons. Lineage: Eukaryota; Metazoa; Chordata; Actinopteri; Cyprinodontiformes; Poeciliidae. The record is from RefSeq and is a predicted model, not a curated record.